RNAcentral lists this long non-coding RNA (462 nucleotides) under Equus caballus (horse). RNAcentral's name for it is "lncRNA (ENSECAG00000044188.1)". The record is from RNAcentral. Lineage: Eukaryota; Metazoa; Chordata; Mammalia; Perissodactyla; Equidae.
CAUCAGUGGAGAGGGCAUGCUCAUCUCAGUCCAAAAUCACCGAUGGGAGACUGAACGCCUGUGUGGCUGCAUGCCCGCUCAGGGGCCCGGCUGCACACACAGGCCUUGCUCCGAUGAGUUCUGGAUCCGCUCUCCUGAGCUCGUGAGUGAUGCCAGAGCAAUAUCCAACAGAGGUUUGACCAAAAUCUUGGUGCAGUGGCCUAGCCAAACUGACACAUGAAGUCAACCAUCACAGAGGCCCAGCGAGAGUGCAACAUUGAGUAAAUUCCCAGGGCCGUGAAAAAUUGAGGGAAAAGUGAAACAUCAAAUCCCAAAAGAGAUCCUUUUCUUAAAGUGCUGAAAGUCAAUUCAACAAGUAUUUACUGAGCUUCUACCCCUGCCCUUGGGGACGCUGUGAUGCAAAAUCGAGAAUUUUCCCCAAAGGAAAACUACUGAGAGAAAAUCAUGGAAGGAGAAUGAAAA